RNAcentral lists this non-coding RNA (96 nucleotides) under Dubosiella newyorkensis. Its description in RNAcentral is "TPP riboswitch aptamer (THI element)". It matches the Rfam family "TPP riboswitch aptamer (THI element)". Rfam says of the family: Vitamin B(1) in its active form thiamin pyrophosphate (TPP) is an essential coenzyme that is synthesised by coupling of pyrimidine and thiazole moieties in bacteria. The previously detected thiamin-regulatory element, thi box was extended, resulting in a new, highly conserved RNA secondary structure, the THI element, which is widely distributed in eubacteria and also occurs in some archaea. RNAcentral also lists the same sequence under 1 other name. Lineage: Bacteria; Bacillati; Bacillota; Erysipelotrichia; Erysipelotrichales; Erysipelotrichaceae. The record is from Rfam by way of RNAcentral.
GUGUCAAGACAGGGGCGCCGAAAGGCUGAGAUGCGUAUGCGGUCCCUUCGACCUGAUCUAGAUAAUACUAGCGUAGGGAGUCUCUAUUUUUUUCCU